UUGGAAGAUCUAGUUCUUUUGCUAGACAUGGUGACUUUUCCCAAAAAAUAGGUAAAUUUCAGAAAUGGAUGAAGGGAUUUACAGUGUUGCGUAGCUUGUUGCAGUGACAGAUUUACAGUGGCAAUAGACGUGUGGUGGUGAUAAGCAUAUAGCAGCGAUAGGAAUGUGACAGCGAUAUGGUUGCUCCGGCAAAAGACUCGCUGCGGCAAUAAGCUAAGGUUUUGCGACAAUGGGAGGAAUUUGAGGAGAUUUACGCUAACAGCUAAGAGGAAAAAGAAUGAGUGGCUAGGGUUUAAGUUAAUUGCUUGAGGGGUUGUAAAAAUUAUGGUGGUAGAGAAGGGUUUAUAUAGUGGUGAAUUAAGGCAAAUUUGUAGCAAAAUUUUUUCUACUU
This 391-nucleotide long non-coding RNA is filed under the name Gossypium barbadense (sea-island cotton). Its description in RNAcentral is "long non-coding RNA (GBAR_LNC013504)". Lineage: Eukaryota; Viridiplantae; Streptophyta; Magnoliopsida; Malvales; Malvaceae. The record is from RNAcentral.